GUGGAUAGUGGCGACGGGUGAGUAACACGUGGGCAAUCUGCCCUUCACUCUGGGACAAGCCCUGGAAACGGGGUCUAAUACCGGAUAACACUCCUGCCCGCAUGGGCGGGGGUUGAAAGCUCCGGCGGUGAAGGAUGAGCCCGCGGCCUAUCAGCUUGUUGGUGGGGUAAUGGCCUACCAAGGCGACGACGGGUAGCCGGCCUGAGAGGGCGACCGGCCACACUGGGACUGAGACACGGCCCAGACUCCUACGGGAGGCAGCAGUGGGGAAUAUUGCACAAUGGGCGAAAGCCUGAUGCAGCGACGCCGCGUGAGGGAUGACGGCCUUCGGGUUGUAAACCUCUUUCAGCAGGGAAGAAGCGAAAGUGACGGUACCUGCAGAAGAAGCGCCGGCUAACUACGUGCCAGCAGCCGCGGUAAUACGUAGGGCGCAAGCGUUGUCCGGAAUUAUUGGGCGUAAAGAGCUCGUAGGCGGCUUGUCACGUCGGAUGUGAAAGCCCGGGGCUUAACCCCGGGUCUGCAUUCGAUACGGGCAGGCUAGAGUGUGGUAGGGGAGAUCGGAAUUCCUGGUGUAGCGGUGAAAUGCGCAGAUAUCAGGAGGAACACCGGUGGCGAAGGCGGAUCUCUGGGCCAUUACUGACGCUGAGGAGCGAAAGCGUGGGGAGCGAACAGGAUUAGAUACCCUGGUAGUCCACGCCGUAAACGUUGGGAACUAGGUGUUGGCGACAUUCCACGUCGUCGUGCCGCAGCUAACGCAUUAAGUUCCCCGCCUGGGGGAGUACGCGCAGGCUAAACUCAAAGGAUUGACGGGGCCGC
This 816-nucleotide ribosomal RNA is filed under the name Streptomyces sp. RNAcentral's name for it is "bacterial SSU rRNA". It matches the Rfam family "Bacterial small subunit ribosomal RNA", at positions 88 to 922 of the family's 1533-position model. Lineage: Bacteria; Bacillati; Actinomycetota; Actinomycetes; Kitasatosporales; Streptomycetaceae. The record is from RNAcentral.